This 253-nucleotide ribosomal RNA is filed under the name uncultured bacterium. RNAcentral's name for it is "partial 16S ribosomal RNA". It matches the Rfam family "Bacterial small subunit ribosomal RNA", at positions 524 to 776 of the family's 1533-position model. The record is from RNAcentral.
UACGAAGGGGGCUAGCGUUGCUCGGAAUCACUGGGCGUAAAGCGCACGUAGGCGGAUUAUUAAGUCGGAGGUGAAAGCCUGGGGCUCAACCCCAGAAUUGCCUUCGAUACUGAUAGUCUCGAGUUUGGAAGAGGUUGGUGGAACUCCGAGUGUAGAGGUGAAAUUCGUAGAUAUUCGGAAGAACACCAGUGGCGAAGGCGGCCAACUGGUCCAAUACUGACGCUGAGGUGCGAAAGCGUGGGGAGCAAACAGG